GACGAACGCUGGCGGCGUGCUUAACACAUGCAAGUCGAACGAUGAACCCGGAGCUUGCUCUGGGGGAUUAGUGGCGAACGGGUGAGUAACACGUGAGUAACCUGCCCUGGACUCUGGGAUAAGCGUUGGAAACGACGUCUAAUACCGGAUAGGACCUUGGAUCGCAUGAUCUGGGGUGGAAAGUUUUUUCGGUCUGGGAUGGACUCGCGGCCUAUCAGCUUGUUGGUGAGGUAAUGGCUCACCAAGGCGUCGACGGGUAGCCGGCCUGAGAGGGUGACCGGCCACACUGGGACUGAGACACGGCCCAGACUCCUACGGGAGGCAGCAGUGGGGAAUAUUGCACAAUGGGCGAAAGCCUGAUGCAGCAACGUCGCGUGCGGGAUGACGGCCUUCGGGUUGUAAACCGCUUUUAGUAGGGAAGAAGGGCUUCGGCUUGACGGUACCUGCAGAAAAAGGACCGGCUAACUACGUG
RNAcentral lists this ribosomal RNA (472 nucleotides) under uncultured bacterium. Its description in RNAcentral is "partial 16S ribosomal RNA". It matches the Rfam family "Bacterial small subunit ribosomal RNA", at positions 28 to 507 of the family's 1533-position model. The record is from RNAcentral.